This is a non-coding RNA of Salmo salar (Atlantic salmon), 54 nucleotides long. The record is from Rfam. Lineage: Eukaryota; Metazoa; Chordata; Actinopteri; Salmoniformes; Salmonidae.
CACUCUCACUACUGUAAGUCACUCUGGAUAAGAGUGUCUGCUAAAUGACUAAAA